This 454-nucleotide non-coding RNA is filed under the name Pan troglodytes (chimpanzee). The record is from RNAcentral. Lineage: Eukaryota; Metazoa; Chordata; Mammalia; Primates; Hominidae.
AAGUAGCACUAUGGAGAUUCACACGUGGCGAAGAGCUGAGGCCUCCCACCAACAGCCACAUGAGGGAGCCAGAGUGGGAGUGGCUCCUCCAGCCCCAGUUGAACCUUCAGAUGUGACAGCCUCGGCUGCUGACAGUUUGCAAUCUCAUGAGACCCUGAGCCAGAACCACCCAGCUAAAUCAGUCCUGGACUCCUGAUCAACAGAAAUGACCAAAGAGAGGCGUUUUGGACAUUAAGACGCUUUGCUGCUUCUCACCUGAAACACGUAACAGGAACACCAACCUCUUCAGCCACAGGAAAUCUUCUUUGACACAAAACUCAAACCAAGUCAACCCAAAGUUCCAAGUUCUUUGCUUUCUCUUCUGUGUGUGUGUUGGUUUGUCCCAAAAGUCAGUUUGCAAGUUGAAACUUCAUGAAAUUACUCGUAGCAGAAAUAAAGUACAUUGUACAAAUCA